AGACAGUCCGGUCUGGCGCUCGCGCUUCAGCCGUUCGGCCUUCAGGAUGGUCAGGACCUGGGAAUACGCCUCGUCCAGUUCGGAGUUGGUGACCACAUAGUCGUAUUCCGCCCAGUGGCUCAGUUCGUGACUGGCGCGGCUCAUGCGCCCCGCAAUCACCUCAUCGGAAUCCUGGGCGCGGGUAUGUAGCCGCUUUUCCAGAUCGGCGGCGGACGGCGGCAG
RNAcentral lists this unclassified non-coding RNA (222 nucleotides) under Hevea brasiliensis (rubber tree). The record is from RNAcentral. Lineage: Eukaryota; Viridiplantae; Streptophyta; Magnoliopsida; Malpighiales; Euphorbiaceae.